RNAcentral lists this long non-coding RNA (359 nucleotides) under Homo sapiens (human). Its description in RNAcentral is "non-protein coding lnc-SENP6-3:3". Lineage: Eukaryota; Metazoa; Chordata; Mammalia; Primates; Hominidae. The record is from RNAcentral.
GCGUGCGGUGUAGGCGCAUCUUCGCUCUGUUGGCCGUGGCUUUAGUAAGCACACACCUGCCUGCUACUCUGGUUAUCGUGGCGACGGCAGGUCUGGAUUGCCAGACAGGUUUUUCUUUUUACCUCGAGGCUUUCUCUGAAGGGAGUCGGAGCAUUUAAAAGGCGGCCUCAAGGUGGAUUGAGUCGGGGGAGGAUUAGCAGUAUUUGCUUAGGUUGUAAAACCGCGACUUUAUCUAAUAAAUCGCCAUUCAAGGUGCAAAUACAAACUUGGAACAGAGGUGCGUGACAUGUACCCCUUUUGUCCUAAAGUCAAGAAUCAAUAAUGUGACUUAGCCCUAUUAUCUUGCCUCUAAUUAAGCG